GGCGGGGCGGGGCGGCUGCCGGCACCGACGUGAGCUCGAGGCGGGCGGUGUGUCGGCGCUGAGGGACGGCGGGAGCUGCUGGGAGCCGGGCCCUGUGGAGUCGGAGACGAUGCUGCUGUUCUGCCCCGGCUGCGGGAACGGGCUGAUCGUGGAGGAGGGACAGCGCUGCCACCGCUUCGCCUGCAAUACGUGCCCCUACGUGCACAACAUCACCCGCAAGGUAACGAAUCGGAAGUACCCGAAACUGAAAGAAGUGGAUGAUGUGCUUGGUGGAGCAGCUGCCUGGGAGAAUGUUGACUCUACUGCAGAGCCCUGUCCCAAAUGCGAACAUCCUCGGGCCUACUUCAUGCAGCUUCAGACCCGCUCUGCGGACGAGCCCAUGACCACCUUCUACAAGUGCUGCAAUGCCCAGUGUGGACACCGCUGGAGGGAUUAGGGCUCGGACGGCCCAGCCGCCUCCGUGUGUGCCUACCUUGUCCGUCGGGGAGCUGCUCAGCUGCGAACAGGGUCUCACUCUGUUGCCCAGGCUGAAGUCUCAAACUCCUGGGUUCUACUGAUCCACCUGCCUCAGCCUCCCAAGUAGUUGGGACUACAGGUUUUGGCACAGAACUGUAUAUACAAUGAUAGUGAAAUUGAUCCCACUGGUUCUGACGGAAAUGAUGACACAUCUAAAUGAGUUGGAUGUUUUAGAGGUAUCAUCUCAUGAAUCCUUGACAGAAACUGAAUGAGGAAUGAAAUUUAUUGUUUCCAUUUCGCACAGAAGGAAACCGAGGUGGUGAAGCCCUCCGUUGUCCUGACCCCACAGUUCCUGUCCCAUGAUCAGGGCCAGCUCACCAAGGAGCUGUAGCAGCAGCACGUAAAGUCAGUGCCAUCCCCCAUGCGAGGACCCGAGGAAGGGCAUGAAUCUCUCAGGGGCCAGAAGCAGCAGAUGAGCCUCACCCAGCCUGUGUACAGAAAGGCAGUUGUGUACCUGCUGGAUGACCCCCUGGUGGCUUUGGAUGCCCACAUUGGCCAGCAUGUCUUCAACCAGGUCAUCGGGCCUGGCGGGCUACUCCUGGCGGGGAACAGUAAGUUUGGGAAUAUGUUUCAGAGGUCACAGGGCAAAGGUAGAGCAUGCCCUUAGCAUCCAGUCCUAACCCAAGAUUCUCUCACCGCCCCCUUCCACUUGAGUCCAAUUUUUCUCUUUGUAUUGGUCAGCUUUUGCUGUGAUGAUGCUACGUAACAAACAACCCCUCAGAUUCCAUCAGCUUACAACAGCUGCUGUUUCUUGCUUAUGUGUCUGUGGUUUAACUACUACAGCUCUGCCUUGGAUGAUUGGCCUGGGUCAGAUGGACUCAUCUUCUUGAGAUAGGCUGAAGGAGUCCCCUCUGUUUCUCUAUUUGAAAAUGCUAUUUUCAAGAAAGAUGGCAGGAGCACAAGAAGGGGAGCUCUCCCAACUCUGAGUCCAGGGACAAUACUCCCACUCCUACCCCCUGCUCCAGGAGGCUGGCCAAGCACAGGUGUAUAACUUUUCUUUCUUUCCCCUUCUCUUCAUUCCUCUUUCCCUUCCCAUCCCUCCCUCUUCCUCUCUCUCCCUCUCUCCUCCCUUCCUCCUUCCCUUUCUUCCUUCCUUUUUUUUUUUUUUUUAUUUUGAGACAAAGUUUCACUCUUAUUACCCAGGCUGGAGUGCAGUGGUGCAAUCUCGGCUCACCGCAACCUCCACCUCCUGGGUUCAGGCAAUUCUCCUGCCUCAGCCUCCCGAGUAGCUGGGAUUUCAGACACACGCCACCAUGCCCAGCUAAUUUUUUUUUGUAUUUUUAGUGGAGACGGGGUUUCAUCAUGUUGACCAGGAUGGUCUCAAUCUCUUGACUUCGUGAUCCACCUGCCUCAGCCUCCCAAAGUGCUGGGAUUACAGGCGUGAGCCACCGCGCCCGACCCUUUCUUUUUGAUGGAGUCUUGCUCCAUCACCUAGGAUGGAAUGCAGCAGUGCAAUUUCAGCUCACUGCAACCUCUGCCUCACAGUUUCAAGUGAUUCUUAUGCCUCCAUUUCCCAAGUAGCUGUGACUACAGGUGUAUGCCACCAUACCAAGCUCAUUUUAGUAUUUUUAGUAGAGACAGGGCUUAGCCAUGGUGACCUGACUGGUCUUGAACUCCUGGCCUCAAGUGAUCCACCUGCCUUGGCGUCCCAAAGUGCUGGGAUUACAGGCAUGAGCCAUGGAACGUGGCCACACGUGCGUUAACUUCUAACCCUUCCCUGCCCAGACACAGACUCUUGUGACCCACGCACUCCACGUCCUGCCCCAGGCUUAUUGGAUCGUGGUGCUGGCAGAUGGGGCCAUUGUAGAGAUGGGUUCCAACCAGGAACUUCUGCACAAGAAGUGGGCCCUCAUGAGUCUUCUGGAUCAAGCCAGACAGCUAGGAGAUAGAGGAGAAGGAGGUACCAGGUGGGCUUUGCUGAUUCUCUGUGCCUGGCUCUUGCCACUCUUGGGCAGAAAGGCUCAAAGGGUCCUGCUGGCAAGAGUGGGUUGCUCUGGUCAUACCUCCCCUGUAGGCUUAUGCCCAGAAGCAGACGGCUCUCCAGUAGGUCACCUCUCUCCAAGAAGGGCCAAUAACACCAUCUAUGAGCCGGGGCUGAGCUAAGUGCUUCUGUAAGAAAUACACUAUUUCAUUUGGUUCUCACCGUCCCCUCAGAGGCAUGUGAAGUUACUGCUGUCAUUUUAUAGAUGAGCAAAGAGAGUUAAAUCAGUUGCCCAAGGUCACCAGCUUAGAACUUGAGUGUGUCCAACUCCAGAGUCUAUGCUUGCAGUUGCUGUGGAGACAGCACAAGGAGGUUUUGGUGCCUGGAAAGCUAUAACAUGCCAGCUAGAGUUUCUAAUAAUCUGAAGAACACAAAGCGCGCUGGAUACCUGACAAGGUUCUGGAAGUAAAGUUGCCAAGCCAAGCUCACCCACAAUGACUGAAAAGUAGCAACUCAUAGCACAUCACAUGCAUUAGCUCACUGAAUCAACUUAAUGCCGCCAUGAGACUGGUACUUGAAUCAUUUCCAUUUCACAGAUGAGGAAACUGAGGCCCAAAAGUUAAGGAACUAGUACCAGGUUACGUGGCUUAUAAGUGGCAGCACUGGGAUUUGUACGCAAGCAACUUGAUUCCAGAGAAUGUGUUUUUUAAUCAUUAGGCUUUUUACUACCCCUGCAUGACAAAGCAGGGACCCACACCCGGGUCUCCCUCAAUCUCAGACUUUGUCUCUUCUGAGAACAUCUGCUUAGCAUUGGCACACCCUGGCUAAAAACACUAAGUGUUGAUUCACAAUGUCCCAGUCCUGAAGCUUGAAGCUAAUACUUGCCUGUUAGUAUUGGUCAGCUUUUGCUGCAAUGGUGCUGUGUAACAAAUAGCCCCCCAACUCUCAGCAGGUUACAGUGGCAGUUAUUUCUUGCUUACAGGUCUGUGGUUAAACUAUACAGCUCUGCCUUCAGUUAUUGGCCACAUCUGGGGGAUAGUGGUGGGGAGGUGUCCUUCCUGGGAGAGAUGGUACCUGAAGGUUGGUGGGAGUUAACCAGAGAAGAGCAUUCCAGACACAAGGAACUGCUUGAGCAAGGCUGUCGGGAGAAACAGAGAUAACGUUAUACAGUGUUCACUGAUGCUUUUCCAACCUCAGGUUCACAGCAGGUGCCCAAUUAUAUUCACUGAUUGAAAAAAUGAAUGAGUGAGUGAAUGCCUGAAUGAUGUUCCCGGAAGAACUCAGAGUGGGGUGUUGAGGUUGCUGGAGAGGUGGCAGGAGCCAGGACAGGGAAAAUGGAUGGUCAGAGCAGUUAAGGCCACAUGGUCAGUGGGUGUGAUAGUGAGUAUCUGGGCCAUGUGUGUGACAGGACUCUCUUGACCUUUUAUCAGAUUGUGAAAACAAUCUGAUAAAAAGAGAUGACAAGGUAAAAAUUGAAGGGGAUGCACAGAAAGAAAUCAGCAUGAGGCAGUUUAGUUGGGCAGGCCUAAGCCUUAGAUUUUGGAUAUGGACUGAUUCAAAAGAAAUAUGCAACUACCCUUUGACCCCAAAUUCCUCAAACAUAUUGUUGAGAGUAAUUGAUUUUCACUCAUUUCUCUUUAAUAUGGCUCCUAGUCCUUGUACUUUACUAUAAAUGUCUUUCCUGAGCCCAUCAGUGACUUCUUUCUUACCAAAUUUAGAGACCUUUUUUUCAGUCUGCCUAUUGCCCAAUCAUUUAAUUAUAUUUUAGAAGGGUUAUCUUAUAUUUCUCUCAUUUUACUUUUAGUGUUAUAAAUAUCCCAAAGGUAAUAUGUGUUAUUUGCAGUGAAAUAGAACAUACAGAUUUGAUGAUUUGUGAUAACCCAGGCUAACAUGUUAGUCGAAUUUUUCCUGGCUUUUAAGUACAUUUUUAUAUGUUUAUGUAUUCUGAAUAAAGUCAACUGAGGACAGAGACAGGAAUCAUUAUUACAUUAAUACUCAGAUGUCACUGGCUUUUGCUCCACAUGCUUGCAGAGGACAUUAGCCACUUCUGCAACGUUCCUCAAGUAUUUCUGGGGAUCCCUGGAGCUGUAUCUUGUUACUUAUAAACAAGUCUUAUUUUAAAGGUGCUGUUACUGCUCUGUCAAAUAUCUGCCUCCAUCGUGGGCACUAAGGUUCAUUUCACCAGAUUUAAACUUUGUUUCCUUCUAUCACAUUUCCAUUCUAAGAUGUACAUUUUUUUCACAUUUUAAUAUAUCUGCAGUCAGAAGGCAUCUUAUAGUCAGGUAAGCAGCAAAAGUAAUAUGAUCAUCAUUGCUUGAACAUUUACAUCAAAACUUGUAGAACAGGUGCUGCUAGAGGCAUGGAAGAAAAUUCUGGAGACAAUAGUGGUGCACUCUUAAUAAAGGCUGGACAACAGUUGGUGACACAGGAAACAGUACUGUGUGAAGAAGGGUGGACAUGGAUGACUCUUAGACAAAAAAUGACUCCGGUAAGUCAAAGUGAGUUCAAGGAGGUUGAGGAGUAAUUUAGCCAAUUCCCUUUUCCCUUGUUUGAUUGAGGAAUAAUUUACGUGCAAUAAAUUGGUCUGGUAGUGCGGGAAAGCUCCAUCAGACUGGGUGAUCUAGCUGCUCAUUUUAUGGAGAGUUCUGACAAAGGUGUGGACACCAGCACCUUCUACCAGCCAGCCCCUGAGUGAAGGGUUUUUCCAUAGAAACCCUCCAGGUUUUUCCUGGAGGAAGGCUUGGGUAACCUUUUGGGCAGGUCUUCCCAACUUGAGGUUCUAUGCUAAUGGAAUACUAUUUUUCUGAAUAUUUAUCUGUCCUUCUAGUGAGAAUAGUUCGUGCACAGUCUACAAAGUGGUCUUCAAAAUUGAGUACACAUCAACAUCCCCUAGAGGGCUUUUUAAAGGAUGAGAAGCCGUCUUCUCCAAUGAAAAGAACACAGACACAUUAAUCAGCCUCUCCACCCUGAGCCACACAAGGUCUUUUUGCGUUCAGGGCUCUGUCUCUAAUAGGAGCACAUGGACUAAGUAAGGAAAGGCACCAUCAUGACUCCAAGCGGAGGAGAUCCGAUGAAUGUAGGCCUCAAAAUUAACACCCGCCGGAUUUACGCCAAAUGUCUGAUCACCAUCCCACUAUGGGCUACCAUGGCCAGGGACCCUCAGACCAUUACCCCUCUUUCUACACAGAUGAACUGGGGGAGUAUAAGCAGCGCCUACCCACACUGCACCCCGCAGUCUCAGAUCCUCGAUCGCCCCCUUCUCACGACUCCAAGUCACCCCAGGGUCAUAGGUCUCCUUCGGAGAGAUCACUAGAACAGAAAAACAACCCAGAUUAUAAUAGGAAUGUUCGGAAAACACAAAGGACGGCUCGCAAAAGAGAGAGCAAGUCAUCAAACACAUGGAUGUUUUUGGUCUGAUCCAACAGUAGCCAGUUAUCUAGACCAGUAAGCGGAGUUUCGGACAUGCUGCUGCUGUCAGCAAGGAACGGGAGGCCUUUCACUGGGUCCAGCUCGGAUUCAGGUCAGCACUCCCGCACUUUGGCACCCGUCCCGUUCCAGCCUAGUUCUGGCCUCCCACUUUGAUGGGCACUUGGAGGAAGAGCUGACUGUGUAUACCAGCUUCACUGGGAUGCGUUUCCCCAGUCAAGGAAUAGGGGAUCUUCAGAGUCAUGAAUGUUUUCUCACCAGGGUCAGUGUUCCUAGGACCUUAGUGCAUAGGCGGGCAGGAGCUGGUGCAGGGAGGCAGCUGGGGCCUGAUGGGACAGUGUGAUUUGCCUGAUUUGUUUCAUUCUGACAUGAUGGAUGCUGCUGACAGGGAGUGGGGAGUGCAGGCAGAUGGGUGGGGGCAAGCAUAGGACUUGAAGGGGAGCAGGUAUACCCCUCAAAUGCGUUUUUGGGAGAAAUGCAUUUGUGAAAUGCAUUUCUCAUUAUGUGAAACCUGUGGGCGGGGUUGGGGUGGGGAGGUAGCGAGAGGGCAGCGGCUUCCACAGCGGCUUCAUCUCUGCCAACACUAAUUUUCCCACACCGUCUUUGUACAUUCCGGAAGUUUGGUCUCCUGAGUGGGCCUCCUUUCCCUGCUAUGGCGGGGAAAGUAGGUUGCUCUAACUGACUUUUGAGUACUGCGAGUUCGACAAUGUUGAUGCCAGCGUGGGUAUUACUUGACUGGGGAGUAGGCCAGGUGAGGGGUAGGGUGAGCCAACGUGGGGAAUAGUGCGGCCAGGGAUCUGGAAUCUCUGGUGGAUUUCUGAUUCCUGUGGUGAGAAGGAAAACUGCAGGAGCUGGAGAGGAGGUCACAGAGGCAGGCCUACUGACCGCUUGUUGCUGGCAAUCACAAAGCUGGGGGUCCUGGUGCAGGCAGUGAACAGCUUCUACUGUGGGGUUCAGUAGUGCCAGCCAAGUAGGGGAGACUUUCAGUAUUGGGCUAGGUCGGCACCUCGGCUGCAUUUCCUCUCCCUUUGCACAGCUUGAGGAAAUGUACUGGACAGACUCACACGUCAUGUAGUGGGCAGAUGUGGUGGACAAGUUUCUCCUGCUAGUUGGAGAUCAUUAGAAUUGAAUUCAGUAUCUCUUAGAAUGUGAUCAGGUAUAAACCUCAGUUAAACUUCCUGAAACAGGGGGCAUCCAAAGACAGUGACUGAGCUAGAGAUAGCAAGAAUCAUACUAGAGUUGAAUUGAGUCAGGUUUAGGAAGCAAGUUGAUUGCAUCAGUUAAGCAGGCUCUUUUCAAUGUACUGACACUGGGGCCUGCAGUUUUAUUCAGUAGAGCUUGCCAGUGUUGGAGUAUCCAGAGGCCUUUCUAGGUGGAGACAGGAUAACUGACUUGAACAUUCAGUGUGCCUGUAAAUGUCCAGGCUCAGAGCUGUGAAAACCCUUCUGCUGGGCAUGUGCGGGGUUAAACCCCCGAAGUCUCUUGUGAGGAUUUCAGUGCAUGCUGGGCUCCUGGGCAGCACCAUGAAUGCCUUUACAAAGACAUGCCGACUUGUAUCCCCGAAUGAAGAAGAUGUGGCUGUGACGUGGCCCUUGCUCCCUACCACACAGAGCAUCACAGGGCUGGUUCGUGCUGUUUCCAGAGGAGGGUCUAGGUCUUGGAUGCUUGUGUUGAGAGCUCAGUGGACCCACCCCCUUAGUGAACUCCUCACACUUCUUGGGGUUGCUCAGCCUAGACUUGUACCACACCUGCCUUGAAGCAAAGCCCUGGCGACUGCAUGAGCCACCUGGCCACAGUCCUCCCCUGGAGGCCUCUGUGACUGCUCAGUGGAGAGGGCAGGGCAUGUGUCCCCACUCAGGCGACACAGUGAAAAGGAAACCACAGAUAGAGCCUCCUGCUUAUAAUACUGACUCUGGCCUGUGUUUGCCUUGCCUAAGCCAAAGAGGAAGGUGAGGUUGGCUUGCCAAGCCCUUGAGCGAUGGGAGCGGGGGUGGGAAGGAGAUGACUCCCUGCAGAGUUGGGUUGUGCCCUCCGGGAACAAAAGGAGAGGCAAAGGCAUCAUCAGAGGCCCUGUGUUUCCAUCAGGUUUCCAUGCUUGUCAGGGCUUCUCUCUUAAGUCACUGAUAGGAGAUGUGAGUUAUGCCCAGAGAUUUCUCAUCCUGAGGAAGGAAGACCUUCCUUUCAUUCACUUUCGGGACUCUUAGUGCCAUAUGAAGUAGCAAAAGGCAGUCUUGGCCAGAUCAGUGUUACAUUGGUUCUAAAAUUACAGUGUCCCCAUUAGACGUCUAUUUUAGGUGCUAAAGUGUGUUUGAAGAGUGCAUUGGGAGAAAGGAAGCAUUUCUUCAUUGAUUUAAUUAGUAUGAAUACUAUAUGCUUAAAUGAAAAACAUGUUUUGCGCAGGUAAAUUCUCUCCCUUGUGUAUGGGAGAAGCUGCCCCAGGAGUCUGUGAGUGAGGGUGGUGUUCCUUGGAACUUGGCUCUGAAAGAUUUCAUUGAUAGAAAUACCAGGGGGAGCUAGCAUUCCCUAAAACUUACACGUGAAUGGGGGUUGACGUGAUACACUGUGGCCUAGAGAAGGCCCAGGUGAAAAUCGCUGCAGUCUUUCAGAGCCAGGCAGACAGGUGCCCAGCAGAGCCCGGGGCUCGCUCCCCAUUCAGUCAUUCCUUAGCCCUUCGAAGGGAGACCCAGAGACUUUGCACGCUGUGCUGCAGACAUUCUGGCCUGGUGUGUCUGAAGGUUGCCUCAGUCCUCAUAGUGCAAACGCUGUUUAUCUAGGAAGUCACAAUGACACUGAAAUCCUCCAGACCAAAAUCCACUUGUCAGCAGGAGCAGCAGCCCAGCACCAGCGUCUUCAGGCUCCUCUGAGGGCUGCCUGCAUUGGGCGAGGGAAGCCAUGCCAAUGGUCCAGGCUGCCUUAGGCCAUCUUGGCCCCACUUGUCAGGGGACAGAUGGUUUUUCUUUAUUGUAAAAUAGUAGACUUUUAAAACCUGUUGACUAAACAGUAAUUAAUCUAUAUUUGUGAAAAAUGCCACUGUCCUAGUGAUUUCUGAUGUAAAUAAUGUUUAUAUAGUAUGUAUUAAAUUUUCCUACAUUGUAAAA
Callithrix jacchus (white-tufted-ear marmoset) is the source of this 8961-nucleotide non-coding RNA. Lineage: Eukaryota; Metazoa; Chordata; Mammalia; Primates; Cebidae. The record is from RefSeq and is a predicted model, not a curated record.